This 253-nucleotide ribosomal RNA is filed under the name uncultured bacterium. RNAcentral describes it as "partial 16S ribosomal RNA". It matches the Rfam family "Bacterial small subunit ribosomal RNA", at positions 524 to 776 of the family's 1533-position model. The record is from RNAcentral.
UACGUAGGAGGCGAGCGUUGUCCGGAGUUACUGGGCGUAAAGGGUGCGCAGGCGGCCGCGCGCGUGGGUGGUGAAAUCUCCCGGCUCAACUGGGAGGGGGCCAUCCAGACGGCGUGGCUUGAGGCUCGGAGGGGGGCGUGGAAUUCCGGGUGGAGCGGUGAAAUGCGUAGAUAUCAGGAGGAACACCGAUGGCGAAGGCAGGUCUCUGGGCUGACACUGACGCUCAUGCACGAAAGCGUGGGGAGCAAACAGG